UACGUAGGGUGCAAGCGUUGUCCGGAAUUAUUGGGCGUAAAGAGCGCGCAGGCGGUCUGCCAAGUCAGAUGUGAAAGAGGCCGGCUUAACCGGCAAGGGUCAUUUGAAACUGACAGACUAGAGUGCAGCAGAGGAUAGCGGAAUUCCCGGUGUAGUGGUGAAAUGCGUAGAUAUCGGGAGGAACACCAGUGGCGAAGGCGGCUAUCUGGGCUGCAACUGACGCUGAGGCGCGAAGGCUAGGGUAGCAAACAGG
RNAcentral lists this ribosomal RNA (253 nucleotides) under uncultured bacterium. RNAcentral describes it as "partial 16S ribosomal RNA". It matches the Rfam family "Bacterial small subunit ribosomal RNA", at positions 524 to 776 of the family's 1533-position model. The record is from RNAcentral.